Molecule: long non-coding RNA, 7021 nt
Organism: Brassica oleracea var. oleracea
Lineage: Eukaryota; Viridiplantae; Streptophyta; Magnoliopsida; Brassicales; Brassicaceae
Exons: 3
Source: RefSeq, a predicted model, not a curated record
GAAUUCUUAUCUCCCACGGUAGCCUAGCCUCUCGACGCGUAAUCGCGGGUGAUAUUCUUCUGAACGCGUCUCUUGUCUUUUCUUUUCUGCCUUACGUGUUUCGUCCUCUUGUUUCGUUAUCUACGUCGUCUGGCAGGAUGUUUCAACUCGAUUUCUUGGACCGAUCAUUGCUAGGGUUUUCACUUCUCACGGAUGAUUCUUGAUUGAUUCUCUUCCACGCUAAGUCUUCAGGGGCUUCUCUAAUCUCAUUAGUUCCUUACGUUUUUAUGUUGCGAUCAUCGUUGCAGCUUUUUUGGAGUUUUCACCUUUGGUAUAGGUUUGGUUUCUAGAUUUCAUCGGUCUACUUUUUGUUCCAUGUGAUAUACUUGUCGUCUUGUUUGUUUUAGAUUGUGGAGGAUGCUUUCUUUGAUGAUCGAUGAUGGCGUUUAGGGUUGAUCGCUCUUCAAGUGUUUUCUCUUUUGGCGGUUUAGCAGGGCUUCUCUCUUUUUUCCUUUAAAACAAAAUCAUUAUUACUCGUAAGUCGGUCUUCUUUUUCCUGUCUUAAGCGAAACACGUUUUUUCGUGUUGAUAUAGAACAUGGAGGCUCAGCAAUCGGGAUAGCUCUGAAUAGGUUUCUCUGUUUUCUCAUGCUUUACUUUUUUUCCCCAUGAAUUACUCUCCUUCGUUAUAGGUGUAUCGAGGAGGAUGAUCUUCUAUCUUAGACCGUGGAAGGGAACAAUGUUUUGCGUAUGAUCUCGAGUUCUUGGUUAUACCUUUUCACCUACGGAUUAUAUCUUUUGUUGAGUAUUGGUUAUUGUGUCCUCCGCCGUGUUUUCCAGAUCUGUUUCACCAAUCAAUGUACACAUAUUCAGAUGAAAGACCGAUGGUCGCAGAUGUGAUUCGAUCAUCGUUGCCGCUUCUAAGUUUUCACGUUUUUUUAGGUUUGGUUUCUAGAUUGGCCUUUUUUGUUCCAUGUGAUCUUUUUUUUUUUUUUUUGAACAACUUGUUCCAUGUGAUUCUACUUUCUGUUUUGUUGUUUUAAAUUUGCGACAGAUGCUUGCUUUAAUCCAUGAUGGCUGUUUUGGGUUGAUCGUUCUUCACGCGCUUUCUACAGGGCUUCCGUCCUUUUCCUAUUUUUAAAUUCCCUUAUUACACAAGCCGGUCUUUUUUUUUUUCCCUUUCUUAAGCGGAACAUGUUUUUGGUUUUGGUAUAGAACAUUUUUGGCUCCAAGAGAGAAAGGCAAUCUGGAUGGCUCCUGAUCAAUCUUCUUGCCGGUUUUAGGUUUCUCUGAUUUCUCUUUGCUAAAAGGAUGGUUUGUUUACCUUUCUGGCAGAUUCUUGUUACCCUUGUAUUCAGUGUUUCUAUGUUACUUGACUUUAGUUUCUAUCUUGGACAAUAAGGAUGACUUUAUUUGGAGCGUCUACGAGAAACAAUUCGUUUUGUGGAAGGGAGUAUGAUGGUUUGCGUAUAGUUCCUAGUUCUUGGUUAAAUCUUUUAAGCCUAUGGAUUAUUUAUGUUUAGUAUUGGCUAUUGUGGGGGAGGUAUGAUGUGUCCUCUGUUUUUUACAGAUCUGCUUAACUAAUCAAUUCACUCUGUUCUUCUCCGGUCUACAUACGUUCAGAUGAAAGAUGGAUCAUAACAGUUGGUUUUGUUCUUCUUUUGCUGUUUCAAGAUGUGGAUUACUUCACUCUGCCCAUUAAAGAUUGUCAAUCUUAAGUUCCUUAUUAUGUAGAAGGCACCUGCACCAGAUUAUUCAGCUUGUAUCAUCAGUCUGUUGAUUCUUUUGCGUUCUCCAUAGAUUUUGAAAUGUUUCGAGGAAAGCUCUCUCGUCUAUGUUACAGAUGGAUGCGAUUUCCAAAAGAGAAAAGCAGGACUGCUAAUUGGAGUCUUGGUGGUUUAUCUGUUCUGCUUUAUUUGUUCCUACUUCCUAACCACAGUAUAUGAAUUUACAUCGGUGGCUUUUCUGUUCAUUCUAUCUACUUCUCGUUUUAGAUUGUGGAGAAUGCUUGCUUUGAGCGAUGAUGAUUGUUAGGGUUGAUCCUCCUUCACGCGUGUAGAAGGGCAUAUGUCUUUUUUUUUUCUUUUCGUACUUUUUAAUUUCUUUAUCACAGAAGCCGGUCUUUUCUCCUGUCUUCACCAAACAUGUUUUUUCGUUUUGAUAUAGAAGAUGUAGGCUCCAAGAGAGAAAAGCAAUGGGGGAUGGCUCUGAUCUACCUUUCUUUUCCGUUUUGAUUAAUUUGCAUCGAUGGAUGGCUCUUGAUCUAUACAGUCUUCUUCUCUAUGAAUUUUCCCUGUUUUUGGUUACUAUAUUACGUAUAGAUGCGAUCAAGUUUUCUUCGCCCUUAUCUCUUUGGCCUUUUUUAUUUUAUUUUACAGUGUGCAUAUAUAUUCUAUGGCUUAAAUGAAAAUCACCUGUGCUCAAGAUGGUAGCCUCUCUUUCUCUUCGAGUUCAGUUUAUUUUGGAUGAUUCUGUUUCGACCGGUUUUGUGUGUAGUCUUCUACAUGUUUCAGGCUUCCACAUUUGUUAUCAAGUCAUGAGCCACUUCUUCCAUGAAAUAACUGCGUAUGCAAGUGAUGAUGUUAUCUCCUAGAUGCCUCAAGGAUCAGUUGUCAAUUAAUUGGGUUAUGCAUUCUUUCUAUCCUUGUUUUUGUUUUUGAUUUUGUAAGCAUGUUCUUGAGCUGGUCUACUUCGUCCAGCGACACCAGUUUUGAAAGUUCUUCUGCGUUUUACUCCUCCUUUUCUAUGUGGAAACUUUUUGUUUUGGACAGGGAUCUUUGACCGUCAUAUCGCAGGAUGUCUUUUAGCGAUUUCUUGGACAGAUCAUCGUUCCUACACCAGUUUGUUCACUUUUCACAUCGGUUUUAACGGGUUAUUGUUUAUUCUAGCGUUUGGUUUCGAGAUUCCAUCGGUUGGCUUUUCUUGUCAUUCAAUUUUACUUUCGGGUUUUGGAAUUUUAGAUUCUGGAGGAUGCUGUGAUUGAUCGGUGCUAUGCUACGUUUUCAAGGGUCCUCGCUUAUCUAUUUCCUUCCUUACCUCCUUCCGACUCGUAGGUUUGGUUUCUUCUAUAGAUUGGCAUCUGUGGCCUUUUUUUAUGUGUUCUACUCUCGUUUGGUUGUUUUAGAUUGUGGAAGAUGCUUUUGCUUUGUGAUCCUUGACCGUGAUGGCUGUAUCGGGUUGAUCCUUCUUCAUGCGUUUGCUCUGUUGGCGGUUUAUCAGGGCUUCCGUCUUUUUUCAUUUUUUACUAUUUCUGAUUUCCUUACUACACAAGCCGGUUUUUCUUUCUUAUCUUAAGAGAAACAUGUUUUUCGUUUUGGUACAGAACAUGGAGAAGCAACCGGGAUGUGUGUCUGAUCUGUUUUAGGUUUCUCUGUUUUCUCCUGCUAUAUUUUCUUUCCAUGAAUUACUCUCUCUCUUUCUCCGUAUAUAUAUGGAAGGAUGAUCUGUUUCUUACCAAGCCCUUGUAUUUAUGGUUUUUGUUACUUGACUUUUUUUUUUGGGAUCAAAAUAUGUUAUUUGAAAAUCAGCAGGCUGCUACUUGGACUCUUCAUAGUUGGUUUAUCUACAAUCUUCUUCGCUCCCUUUUGGCCUUUUUGAUUUUUCAGUCUGCAUCUGUUCUAUAUAUGGCUUGAAUGCAAAUCACUUCUCCCCCGCGAUGGUAGCCUCUCUUUCUCUUUGAAUUCUGUUUAUUAGUAUAGGAGGAGUUUGGAUGAUUCUGUUUCGACCUGUUGUUUAUAGUCCCCUGUAUCAGUACAUCCUGGCCUGUUUUGCUGUUUCAAACUUCAACGUCCUUGUCUCAUCAAGGAUGAAUUUGGAGCUUCCAGUCUUUGAUGGAUUCAGGUGUCAUUAUAGAUUAUUGCGUGUGCAAGUGAAGUUGAUCUCCGAGCUCGUCAAUGGUUGCCUCAAGGAGAAGUUGUCAGUUGAGGGUUAUGCGUUCUUUCUAUCUUUGCUUUUUUUUUUUAAAUUUAAUGCAUGACUACUUCUCUCCCCGGGUUAAUUUGAUAUUUGUCAGCAUGUUCUGGGAUUGGUCUAUUUUCUACAGCAACCAUAAGGUAACGUUGAAGUUUCUUCUGAGUUUUGCUCCUCCUACUCCUCUAUAUGGAAACGUUUUGUUUUGGACAGUGAUCUUUUGUAUAGUCUCUGGUGAUAAGUCGGCCGCGGGUGGAUAAAGCUCAGAUAUCUUGGCUCUUGAUCCUGUAUGUUCUCUUUUCUAAAUGUAGCUACCAUGCUUGUUCUUGUGUUCUUUUUUUCUUUUAGCUUGUGUCCUUUGUCCUUAUUUGUGUGUUCCCAGAUUUUCAGUUCAUCAACCAGUUCACCCAUGUUCCUCGUUGUACACCUAUUCAAGUUGAAAGAUAAUCAAUCAUCAGAUGGUUUGCUCUUUUUUUUUGUCCGCUCCUGGUUUGAUUUGUCCUGUAGAGAAAGCUUUUGUAUUGAAUGAUCUUCAACUAUUCCAACGAUCCUUUCCAGCGUCAUCUGUGUUUUCGAUUGCAGAGCUUCGAAGAGAAAGCAGCACUUGUCAGGGAAGGAUGGUUCUCUUAUAAUCUGGUUUCUGGUUGUUUCGAUUCUAUACAUCACAUUGCCUACAUAGUUUUCUUUUUUCCUGAACAGCUUUUGUGGGGAAUAUAUGAUUUUUCUUUUGUUUGUUUCCAGAAUCUAUGCGGAGGAUGAUUAUUUGUAAAUGGGUUUGUUCUUAUUAUUAGUCCUUUAUGGCUCCUUUUUUUCUAAUGCUGUGUACGGUGGUUAUUGAUUGUAAUAAACUAUUAUACCGGCUUUUUACAGUAGCAGACGUAUCGCAUCUUACGGAUCUUUUACGUUACUGAAGUAAGAAGGUCUGGACUUUCUAGACCACAAGUUUAUAAUUCUAUAAUCUUUCUUCUAGAUAGGAGUUUUGUUAUGGUGUCUGUGUCAGGAAAACUCUCAAGACUUUUGAAGGGUCGUUUUAGUGGACUGUUAAGUCUGAGCUCCUCUGAUGAAGAAGGCUCAAGAUGGUUUGUCAAUGGCCUUUUCUUCUACAGUCGUCUUUGUUAACUUAUUUGGUGGUUUCUUCUCUUCUCUGUUUUGGCUCCUUUCUGAUUUUCUUUACUGCAUCUCUUCUAUGAUAUGCGUACAUCUGUUUGAGAUGAUGGUUUCUUUUUCCUAUGAACUCAUUUUUUGAAUAGGAAUUUAGAUGGUGCAAGGGGAAGGUCUUAUUUCGACUUGUCGGUGGAACUCAUUAUGGAGUAAUUCAAGGGAAAGUAAACUAAUGUUGUCCAGGAACACCUCCCUGUUGGUUUGUGUUUACUUCUGAUUGUUAUUGUUUGCUGGGCAGUAAGCUUCAGGUUCCUUCUUCCUCGUUUUUUGGGAGCUCAUUCAUUGAUAUUUGGUAACACGUUAACGUUGCUUCGGUGAGACAAGGUAGCGUUGAAGUUCUUCUGAGUUUUGAUCUUCCUUUUUGUUAUGGCGAUGUUUUGCUUUGGAUACCCUUUUCUACAGUUGAGUCCGGUGAUUGGUUGGCUUUGAGGGAAGAAAGCUUCGGGUUCCUCACUGGUUUGCUGCAAGAAGUUGUAUUUAGUCUGACGGUUUUCUCGGCCUUGUUCCCUUGUUUCCUAUUUUGCUAGGCUACUUAUCUUGGGGGUUAAUUAGUUGAUAUUGGUAACACUUGUUUUGCUGCUCUCUGAAGGUUAAUAAAUAUCUGCUAAAGGAAGAUUUUGAGGAUGCAAUACAAUGUAUUUCAGUUUUUUUGCUCCAGGGAGUCAAGGUAACGUUGAAGUUCUUCCGAGUCCUAUUCGUCGUUUUUUUGUUAUGGAAACGUUUUGCUUUGGACAAAAUCUUCUACAGUUCAGUAGUCUGGUGUUUUGUUGGCUUUGAGGAAAGUAAGCUAUGGGUUCAUCAUUGGUUUCACAACAGAGUCUCUGGUUAGUUAAUUUUGUUGGCCGGACUUCACGGGAAGUAAGCUUAGCUUCUUCGGGUUUCUCAUUCCCCAUCCUCUCUUUCUUUGGCUCACGGAAGGGUAAUGUACUAAUGUGUAUUUGCUAUAUAGAUUUGGUGGAUGGAAUAUCAUGGAUUUUUGGGUUGUAGUCUAUAUCUGAAUAAUGACAAGGUAACAUUGAAUGGCCUCUUUGAGAUUUGCUCUUUCCUUUCUGUUAUGAAAACAUCUUGCUCUGGACACUCUUUUAUUGUAUAGUCUUCGGUGAUUUGAUAUGGCUGGGAUGGAUGAAGCUCAAAUACGGUGGCGUUUGCUUCUGUAUAUGUUGACUGCUCUGUAAGGUGUUUACCAAGAAGAUGGUGCCUUUUUUGUCUUUCUCUAGGUUUGCAGUAAUAUCACGUAGUCAGUAUCAUCUUAGUACAUGUGUUUUGUAUUUGGUUUUGUGGAAGAGUUUCGCUCUCGAUAUGAUGCUCUUUUCUUGUGCACUACUACUGCAUGGUUUCAUCAUUUGCCUCGUUUUUUCUGGUUUGAUGGUAACACAGGGCAUAUGAAUCUCGCCUUUGUCAGAAUAUGGUCGGAAACGUGUCCUAGCGACUGUGAGGGUACGGUGUGCCGUGCCACUCGUACUUGUGCAGAUUUUCUUUACACUGCGCUUUGUUUCAACGGUGUGCCGCUAGACCUUUUUUGGUGUCUUCCAGUCGCAGAGCUUUGCCCACCAGACCCGAGAUUGUAGCUCUAAUGGAGAAGUGUGGGGGUAUGGGUUUAUGAUGACAUGCUCCAAGAUAUCAAAACACGUUUUCUCCUCCAAUAUGCAAUGGAGAGAGAGCAGAACAAGGAAGGAUGUUCGAUGGUCUUCACUACCUCCCAUAGCUGAUAGCUUCGCCAGGAUGCUUAUCAUCUGAAAUCGUUAAGGCUUCGGUUUUGUACUAGCUUUCUAGUUGAGCUCAACAGAAAACAGUUUGGAAAGGAAGGCAGCAAGGCUUUGGAAACUUACGUAGCCUAAACCUCACAAGCUGCAAGCGCCCAACCCAGUUUCCAGACCUUCUGAAGGCGACUAAUCUUGAGGCUGUUAAACCCUCCAGUUGUGUUAACUGGGAAGUAUGACAGAACAAAGACGAUACAAGCUAAUAGGCUUCAA